CAAUCGGCCCUUUUCAGGGCCACCAAAAUAUGAAACGUAGAAUAUU
This is a regulatory RNA element of Trichomalopsis sarcophagae, 46 nucleotides long. It matches the Rfam family "Histone 3' UTR stem-loop". From Rfam's summary of the family: The mRNAs of metazoan histone genes lack a poly-A tail. 3' end processing occurs at a site between a highly conserved stem-loop (modelled by this family) and a purine rich region around 20 nts downstream (the histone downstream element, or HDE). The stem-loop is bound by a 31 kDa stem-loop binding protein (SLBP - also termed the histone hairpin binding protein, or HBP). NCBI's taxonomy places the organism in Eukaryota, Metazoa, Arthropoda, Insecta, Hymenoptera, Pteromalidae. The record is from Rfam.